GACAUGUGUUCCCUUGCUGAAUGGCCAUCCCAUGCUCGCCACAACCGUGCACUACUACAGGAUGAAGCUGGUGGACAGAAGAAGAAAGGGCGAGGUGUUCUAAAAGGUUUUAAAGCAUCUAAGAAGCGUUUUGCCAAUGGAUCUGCAAAGCUAAAUAUUACAUUCUCUGAAAAAUUGGGUGGUACAGUAGGAAUGAACUAUCGUUCGUUCAAGGAUGACGUGGUAGUCGUAAUGAAAAGAAAGUUACCACUCAUUGGAGUGAGGACGUGGUCGGACAUUCACCCUACCAUUCAUCGACUCAUUAUUGCAGACAUGAUAGACAGAUGGGACUUGGAAGAUACACCAGAAACAGAAGAAAAAGUUCUCAAAAUUGCGAAAGAGCAAUAUAGAGGCUGGCGAUCAACUCUAAGCUCCACUUACAAGGCAUACAAAACAGAUGCAGCUAGAUUGGCUAAUCUGCCGGAAGAUUUGCAACCAGAAGAGUGGGAAUGGAUGAUUGAGUACUUUGGCACUGAUUCAAAAUUUCCGGUUAUCUCUAAGAUCA
Aegilops tauschii subsp. strangulata is the source of this 544-nucleotide non-coding RNA. The record is from RefSeq and is a predicted model, not a curated record. NCBI's taxonomy places the organism in Eukaryota, Viridiplantae, Streptophyta, Magnoliopsida, Poales, Poaceae.